GGGGGCGGCGGGGGCGGCGGGGGCGGCUGUGGAGGAAGUCGGCUCAGCCAGGCAGUUUGAGGAGCUGCUGUGCCUCAAAGCCAAGUCCCUCCUUGUGCUCCAUGUCUGGGCACCAGAUGAACGAAGUUAUGGCAGAGUUGGCUAAAAAACGUCCUCAAGUUUCAUUUGCGAAGUUGGAAGCUGAAGGUGUUCCUGAAGUAUCUGAAAAAUAUGAAAUUAGCUCUGUUCCCACUUUUCUGUUUUUCAAGAAUUCUCAGAAAAUCGACUGAUUAGUUGGCGCGCAUGCCCCAGAGUUGACCAAAAAAGUUCAGCGGCUUGCCUCUAAUGGCUCCUUCCCACCCAGCGCUAAUGAACAUCUUAAAGAACAUCUCAACCUUCGCCUAAAGAAAUUGACUCAUGCUGCCCCUUGCAUGUUGUUUAUAAAAGGAACUCCUCAAGAACCACACUUUGGUUUCAGCAAGCAGAUGGUGGAAAUUCUUCACAAACGUAAUAUUCAGUUUAGCAGUUUUGAUAUCUUCUCAGAUGAUGAGGUUCGACAGGGGCUCAAAGCCAUUUCCAAUUGACCUACCUAUCCUAAGCUCUACGUUUCUGGAACGCUCAUAGGAGGACUUCAUAUAAUUCAGGAGCUAGAAGCAUCUGAAGAAUUAGAUACAAUUUGUCCCAAAACUCCCAAGUUAAAGGAAAGCCUCAAAGGGCUGCACAUAAAGCUUCUGUGAUGCUCUUUAUGAAAGAAAACAAACAAGAAGCAAAAUGUGGAUUCGGCAAACAAAUUCUGGAAAUACUAAGUAGUACUGAUGUUGAAUAUGAAACAUAUGAUAUAUUGGAGGAUGAAGAAGUGCGGCAAGGAUUAAAAGCUUACUCAAAUCGACCGAUGUAUCCUCAGCUGUAUAUGAAAGGGGAGCUGGUGGGAGGAUUGGAUAUUGUGAAGGAACUGGAAGAAAAUGGUGAAUUGCUGCCUAUACUGAGAGGAGAAAAUUAAUAAAUCUUAAACUUGGUGCCCAACUAUUGCAAGAAAUAUUUAAUUACAUUGGGAGCAGUUCACGAUUUAGUCCUCAGAAAUCGACUAGGAAUAGAAAAAUCCUGCUUACUUAGUUACAUGUUUUGUGUAUUUCACAAUGUCAGGCUAAACAAAUGUAUGUUACAUUUUUGUCCCACCAAAAAUAGAAUGCAAUAAACAUCUUCCAUCUUAUUAA
RNA transcript from Sapajus apella (tufted capuchin), 1193 nucleotides. It is a transcript of the gene named glutaredoxin-3 pseudogene, with no coding region annotated. NCBI's taxonomy places the organism in Eukaryota, Metazoa, Chordata, Mammalia, Primates, Cebidae. The record is from RefSeq and is a predicted model, not a curated record. The transcript has a single exon.